CAGGACACCCAAAUAUGAAGAGUACAAGACCGCAGUAGCCUGGCCAGUGCACACAAUGGAAGUGACAGCUUUCAGCCCCUCCAGCCCUGAUCCCUGGAUUCCAACUCCCUACUACCUCCUCCCAGCACCUCAGGAGUGGGGAGGAAGUGUCCAAGAGAGCCGAACAUUCUCCCUGUUCCUCCCUGCUCCUCCCAGGCCUUUCUGGGAAAGCCUGGGGACAGAACUGCCCACCUCCUGACAGCUUGUAAAGUGAAGAGUCAGCUUUGGGCUUUUGAGGAAGGACUGGAAGUGCCCGGCCACUCCCAUCCCCGGAUCCAGGAUGAUGACCCUAAGGGCAGAGCUUCCUCCAUCUUCUAGAAGAAUAUCGAAACCAGGCAGAGUUGGAAAAGGAAGGGAAGGGAAGCAGCCAGGUGUGUGACAACCUCAUCUUUUCACCUUCCUCGGUAUUUGUAUCUAGUUUCUGUUUCACUGCUGCCACAUAUAAGAAUCUGUGACUGUGCCUAUUUCUUAAUGAAAUUCCGAGGGCAGCACAUAUGAUUAGUGACAGGCUUUUGUAAGCCAUCUGAUAAGACAACACUCGAAAAACAUUAGGCUUUAGAACUUAAUCCAUUUUAAAUAAAGAUAUUUGUGCUUUGUUUGUAGAUUUAUGUCUUUAGAGGUGUAUUUACUUUAUGGUCUGUUACACCUAAAAAAAAAAAAUCAACUUUCUUUUCAAGAAGGUAGGUCUGCUCAGGAAAAAAAGAUUGUACUCCUAAGCUGUUUUUUACAUAUAUACAUACUUUUAUAACUCCUUUCUCAAAUAGUUUCUUUUACAAAGAGUGUGCUUAUUUCUAAUUAUCUCCAUACUGCUUAAUCACUGGGACCCAAAGUAAGCUACUAAGAUGAAAAAUUCUGAGGCAAUACAAACCAAAAUGCUAAGUUAUCAAUCACAACUCAUUUCUAUCUUUUUUUAAAAAAAAUCCUAAUUAUUAACAUUUACAAAGGCAAGGGAGAAAAGUGCUGGCGGAGGCACCUUCCAACUCCAACUCCAACCUCUGACAGAAUCGAGCUGGUUAAAAGGCUUUGGAAUUCUUAAACUCAGUUUAGAGAGUUUCCCCCUGAGACCUUCAAGAGGUCACCGUGUACCAAGAGUAACCACGGCAUCUGGUCAAGGCAGAGGAACCUGCCUCACAGCUGAGUUUACCAAGCUAAGGUACACGGUACAGACAGCCACAAGUUCUUCAACUGAGGACUGGCUGACCGUCUGGUCACCUACAAUCUCCCUCCCAAGAUCCACUUCCUCAAAUUAUCCCUGCUUGUGUUUGAGCAUUUACAGACUAGUUAGGGUUACUGGCUUCCCGACCCCUGUGCGUUCUCAGGCUGUCGAUAAGCCCUCACCGUCUGCUCAGUCUCUGCUAAGCUGCUGCCUAAAGUUCCGUGAGCAACUUGGAAAGUUGCUAUAAAAGCUUGAAAUAGAGACACAUUAAAUGUUUUUUGGAGCACAUACAGACCCGCCUAAAAUGUAAACAGAAUACCUGCUGCUGGCCCAGGCUCUUAGAAAAUGAGGAAUGACGGAAUGGGAGCGGUGGAAUGGUCUUCCUACAGAUAACAAGGGCCAUUUCAGUGAGAUGCUUGCCACCUCUGCCUGCAUCUUGGCGAGUUCAACAGUGCAGUAACUUUGUUGUCUGAAGUCAGUGGUGAUGACAGGAGGCAUCCCGUUUUAAAAAGAAGAAAACACAACCAGAGGAAAUGGAGAUAAGGUUUCUGAGGAAGUUCUCCUUCCACUGGAUGGUCUUUUGCUGUUGCUCCACCUUAAAGCGGCUUCCAAGAUGUUUAGAAUUUCCCUAGAUUUAUGGUACUUUUCCUUUAGUGAAAAGACAAUACCUUCUCCUCACAAAGGUUCUCUGUUUGCACGCACGCUAAGAAAACAAAACAAAACAACCCCCCCCCCAACAAAAAACUGCCUAAGGGCAUCCUUUGUCACCUAAGAAUAUGGCACAAGUCUGCCAUUUUAGAGAUGAAAAAAACUAAGACUAACCAUAAUUAAGACUGGGUUUGGGUUAAGGGCUCCUAACAGAUCACAGUAGACAAUUAAAGGGCCUUUUGAAGGAAUCAUAGCAAGAGGUAGGCAGGGAUGCUCACACAAUCUGGCAGAUUGAAUUCACUCCCCAAACUCAAUUCUUUGCUCUAAAAUGAAUGUCAAUCAAAGGGCUGCACUGGAAACUGUUGGGGGAAUAAAGCUCUACUGCUGGACCAGUGGGAACAGAACACAUCUUCCUACCUUGUCAAAGAAUGGUCCUAACUCCAUCAGGACUCGGCAGCCAUUCCUGAACCGAGGCAAGGGAUUCCAUUUACAGUUCAAAACUGAGCUAAGUAUUAUUUUCCUGACAUUAGACCUUCAGAGUGAUUCACACACAGGAACUGUCUCUGGAGCAGGAGCCUCUGUUUCACGGAACCUAUUAAAUUAUCUCUUCAGCAAGUUACCCACUAGCCAAGUACACUUACAUAAUCCAACAUAUUCUAAAAAUAUAAAUACUUAGUCUUGAAGAUUUAUGAUGGGUUCUCAUUAUAUAAAUCUCU
This 2559-nucleotide long non-coding RNA is filed under the name Cricetulus griseus (Chinese hamster). RNAcentral's name for it is "lncRNA (ENSCGRG00015035516.1)". Lineage: Eukaryota; Metazoa; Chordata; Mammalia; Rodentia; Cricetidae. The record is from RNAcentral.